UACAGAGGUCCCGAGCGUUGUUCGGAUUCACUGGGCGUAAAGGGUGCGUAGGUGGCGGGGUAAGUUUGAUGUGAAAGCUCCGAGCUUAACUCGGAAAUUGCAUUGAAUACUAUUUCGCUAGAGGGUUGUAGGGGGGACUGGAAUUCUCGGUGUAGCAGUGAAAUGCGUAGAUAUCGAGAGGAACACCAGUGGCGAAGGCGAGUCCCUGGCCCAUUCUUGACGCUGAGGCGCGAAAGCUAGGGGAGCGAACGGG
This 253-nucleotide ribosomal RNA is filed under the name uncultured bacterium. RNAcentral describes it as "partial 16S ribosomal RNA". It matches the Rfam family "Bacterial small subunit ribosomal RNA", at positions 524 to 776 of the family's 1533-position model. The record is from RNAcentral.